RNAcentral lists this ribosomal RNA (233 nucleotides) under uncultured bacterium. Its description in RNAcentral is "partial 16S ribosomal RNA". It matches the Rfam family "Bacterial small subunit ribosomal RNA", at positions 100 to 334 of the family's 1533-position model. The record is from RNAcentral.
CGGGACGGGUGAGUAAUGUCUGGGAAACUGCCUGAUGGCGGGGGAUAACUACUGGAAACGGUAGCUAAUACCGCAUAACGUCGCAAGACCAAAGAGGGGGACCUUCGGGCCUCUUGCCAUCGGAUGUGCCCAGAUGGGAUUAGCUAGUAGGUGGGGUAACGGCUCACCUAGGCGACGAUCCCUAGCUGGUCUGAGAGGAUGACCAGCCACACUGGAACUGAGACACGGUCCAG